AGGACGAACGCUGGCGGCGUGCUUAACACAUGCAAGUCGAGCGGUGAUCCUCCUUCGGGAGGUGAUCAGCGGCGAACGGGUGAGUAACACGUGGGCAACCUGCCCCUCACACUGGGAUAACCUCGGGAAACCGGGGCUAAUACCGGAUACGACCUCGAGCGGCAUCUCUUGAGGUGGAAAGCUCCGACGGUGAGGGAUGGGCCCGCGGCCUAUCAGCUUGUUGGUGGGGUAAUGGCCUACCAAGGCGACGACGGGUAGCCGGCCUGAGAGGGCGACCGGCCACACUGGGACUGAGACACGGCCCAGACUCCUACGGGAGGCAGCAGUGGGGAAUAUUGCGCAAUGGGCGAAAGCCUGACGCAGCGACGCCGCGUGAGGGAUGGAAGGCCUUCGGGUUGUAAACCUCUUUCAGCAGGGACGAAGCGAAAGUGACGGUACCUGCAGAGAAGCACCGGCUAACUACGUGCCAGCAGCCGCGGUAA
Molecule: ribosomal RNA, 482 nt
Filed under: uncultured bacterium
Lineage: Bacteria
Description: SSU rRNA
Rfam family: Bacterial small subunit ribosomal RNA
Source: RNAcentral